AGGACAUUCGCCUUCUCUGAUCACCGCUUCUCUUUGCCACUUGAGCCCGGCGCUUCCCGGUCGCCCCUCGCGUUGGCCCCUCCUUUCUUGGCCACGAAAACCUUAAAUCAGCACUACCUCCACCACCUUAACAAACGACGAACCCCGGCAGGAACAACUGGGACAAAGAAAAGAGGCUGUUAUGCUCUUCGCUUCCUUCUUCGUUCGACGAGAAAACCCUAGCUUGUAGCUUCUCCGAUGGGGUAAUCCGAUAAUCACUCGCCAUCGUUCAAUCCAAUCCAGUUUGCGAAUCGUCAAGUGAUUAGCACCGAUGUCUUCCUUGGAAGCUCAGGUGUUGGGUCCCGAGAUGGGUCCGGAGGAGGACGAAUCUCCUAACUCGGAUUUGGGGGACAUCGGGAUAGAGUGCUCGGAUGAAGCCAUGGAUGGCCCCGAGACCCCCACUGGGAAGGAUGGAGAGAUGAUAGAGAGUUAUGAUAGGAGGGAGCUGAUUGUGAAUGAGGGGGACCGAAAUGCAGAGCCCUUUGUGGGCAUGGAGUUUGACGGUGAAGAGGCUGCCAGGGCAUACUAUAACGCCUACGCCUGUCGUGUGGGCUUCCGGGUCCGUGUUAGCAGGUGCCACCGCUCGAUGCGCGAUGGGAGCAUCAUAUGCCGCCGGUUUGUCUGUUCCAAGGAGGGCUUCUAUAUCCAGAAGGGUCAGGCCAGGAGCAAGAGGCAGCGGAUAGUCACGAGGGUGGGUUGCAUGGCAAUGCUUGUGGUAAAGAGGCAGAGUUCUGGCAGUUGGCUUGUAACAAAGUUUGUUAAGGAACACAACCAUGAGCCAGUGGCUCCAAGGCAAGUGGCCCUCAAGCCCCGUAUGCUCAUGGAAGUAAAGAAGGUCGAGGUUUGUCUUGACGAGAAGGAGAAUCCUGUCGAGAGAGGACUGGUUGUGGCGACACUUCCUCAGGGAACUUCUGAUCUUGAACCGUAUGAGGGUAUGCAGUUCCAGUCUGAAGAAGCCGCCCGGACAUUUUAUUAUGCAUAUGCAGAGGAUAUGGGUUUUACUGUUCGUAUCAGCAAGUGCCGACGUGCACGAGAUGGAUCAAUUAUUUGCAGGCGAUUUGUGUGUUCCAAGGAGGGUUAUUAUGUGAGAAAAUAUGGAAGAACUAAGCGAUCUCGAGCUUUAACGAGAGUAGGUUGUUUAGCCAGGCUCGUUGUGAAGAAACUAGAUUCUGGUAUAUGGGUUGUUGCAAAUUUCGAGAGGGAACACAACCAUCCUCCAUUUGUUGUAGGGAAUGAGCUGAGCUAUCAGCCACCAAAGCCUACAAGACGCAUUAACUGUGGUGCCCGUGCAUCACUACCAGUUCCAAGUGCUGCUAUGCUGAAUAUAAUGCAAGAUAGUCAGAGUUCUGUGAACUUGCGAUUUAACAGGCUGCAUCAAGAAGGGAUUAGGUUUGCAGAGGAGGGAGCAACAUCAGUGGAAAUUUUUAAUGUGGCUAUGUUUGCUCUGCGGGAGGCUACUCAAAAGGUUAUAGCUGCAAAAGAUACUGAUAUGUUGCCACAGCUUGGUAAUUUGGUCAGUGGAGGCAAUACCGAUCGUCUUAGCUGGACAAAUGAUUCUGUCAAUCAGAUAACCAUGGGCAAUCAACAGUGCUCAAAAGAAGUUAGGCAGGUAGCUGCUUCUAAUGGUCCUAAGCUUAUGCAGCAGCCCUUGAACGUUGUGCUUAUUGCCCCUGGUUUGCCUAAUGAAUCUGGUCAAGCUCCUUCAGCAACUAACUUCCCUAAUGGUCAAGCAGUACUGGGAGGGCUAGAAAACCAACAGCUAAAUAUGACAAUUCCUGUUUCUGUCCAGAAGCAGCUGUCUCCUACUGCACAUAGAUUGGAUGGAAAUGCAUCACCAGGAACAAGUAUGUCUGUAGGAAGGAAAAGAAGGUGUAGUACAUCAGUGGAUGGUAUGGAUAGUUUCAUUACUGUUCGGGAUGUAGGAGAAAGGGAUUCCAAACAAGAUGGAGCUGCAAACCAACCUCAGGGAUGGAACAUCCUUGGAAUGGCCCAAGCAGAUUCACAUUGUGGGAAUGGUGGCAUGUCAACCAGUAUGGCACUUUCAGAUGCGCAGGUGGCAGCACUUCAGGCUGUUGCUGAAGCUUUUAAUGUUCCAACAAUGGGAGCCACCUCUUCAUUUGCUCUUCCAAUCAAAGUACUGCCAUUGUCUGAUAAGCUUUCAGAAGGGAACAAAGGAUACUUGUUGCCUUAUUGCUCCCCCAGUCAAUCUUUGGAAGUAUUAUCUCACCAAUACGAAGAAACUCCAAAACUCCUGGUCCAAAUCCAUUAGUGCACGCUGCUGCUAUAGCUGCUGGUGCCCGUAUUGCUUCCCCUGAAGUUGCUGCUUCGCUGAUUAAAGCUGUGCAGUCCAGAACUGCUGUGCACAUUAGAUCUGGAGGCUCUUUGCCCAAAUUGCCUGUUAGGAUUGGUGGGGAUUCUCUUGCACAAUCAGGGUUAUAUCUUAAUACCUCAAAUAUCCAAUACUUGACAACUGGGGAGCCAUCAAUUCCAUUUCCUGAUACUGGUGUGCUGCCAGAUGCGGCACUUCCAGGGGAUCACCAAGAAGGUAUAGCCAGUGAGGUUAGAGAAAUGCAGAUGACCAUGGCUGAGCAUGCUGAUUUUUUGAACUCGGACUCAAGAGAGGAACAAAACAUCUUGUAUCACUGCAUGGGUGGGGAAUCUCAAACUCUAGUUGAGCUGCAGCAUGCUGGAUUUAGUGCAGACUGACUUGGGUGUGUGCAGGGCCAGGUGUAAAUUGAGAUGUGCUGUUUGGUUGGAGAGAGCAUGUUUAUUUGCUUGUUGCGAUGCCAUCAGAUUGGCAGCAGAGUUUAGAAUCAAUUUUUAUGGUGCGUAUUCCACCUUAUCCUGAAUCUGAGCUGGCACCAGAGUGUGAUAUAUAGGCGUACAGUCA
Non-coding RNA from Phoenix dactylifera (date palm), 2929 nucleotides. The record is from RefSeq and is a predicted model, not a curated record. NCBI's taxonomy places the organism in Eukaryota, Viridiplantae, Streptophyta, Magnoliopsida, Arecales, Arecaceae.